Molecule: long non-coding RNA, 253 nt
Filed under: Lathyrus oleraceus (garden pea)
Lineage: Eukaryota; Viridiplantae; Streptophyta; Magnoliopsida; Fabales; Fabaceae
Description: Pisum sativum (pea) long non-coding RNA (PSAT_LNC024061)
Source: RNAcentral
AACCACCAAAAUACCAAUCCUUCAAAAAUACCACAUCUGCUGAGGAGGAAAGAAUCACUGCUCUGCUGACGGGAGGGGAGGUGAAAAACCUCAACAAGCACUCUGAAUGAGGAGGAGUCAUAACAAAGGCUCUACUCAACAUAAAUCUGUUCGGGAGAAAUCCCAACAAACACCCUGCUUGGGGGAGAAAAUCUCAACAACAGCUCUGCUUGGGGAGAAACCCCAACAACAAUCUGGAGAAAGAGGAUACAGC